RNAcentral lists this ribosomal RNA (488 nucleotides) under uncultured bacterium. RNAcentral describes it as "partial 16S ribosomal RNA". It matches the Rfam family "Bacterial small subunit ribosomal RNA", at positions 28 to 507 of the family's 1533-position model. The record is from RNAcentral.
GACGAACGCUGGCGGCGUGCUUAACACAUGCAAGUCGAACGAAAAUACCAAGCUUGCUUGGUUGAUUAGUGGCGAACGGGUGAGUAACACGUGAGUAACCUGCCCCUUACUUUCCUGGAUAACUGCUCGAAAGGGUAGCUAAUACGGGAUAUUCUGACCAGCCUGCAUGGGUUGGUUUGGAAAGGUUGUUUUUCUGGUAAGGGAUGGGCUCGCGGCCUAUCAGCUUGUUGGUGGGGUGAUGGCCUACCAAGGCUUUGACGGGUAGCCGGCCUGAGAGGGUGGACGGUCACACUGGGACUGAGAUACGGCCCAGACUCCUACGGGAGGCAGCAGUGGGGAAUAUUGCACAAUGGGCGCAAGCCUGAUGCAGCGACGCCGCGUGAGGGAUGAAGGCCUUCGGGUUGUAAACCUCUUUCGUCAGGGAACAAGGCACUGCUUUUGUGGUGGUGUUGAGGGUACCUGGAGAAGAAGCGCCGGCUAACUACGUG